Molecule: ribosomal RNA, 491 nt
Filed under: Bifidobacterium pseudolongum subsp. globosum
Lineage: Bacteria; Bacillati; Actinomycetota; Actinomycetes; Bifidobacteriales; Bifidobacteriaceae
Description: bacterial SSU rRNA
Rfam family: Bacterial small subunit ribosomal RNA
Source: RNAcentral
CGCUGGCGGCGUGCUUAACACAUGCAAGUCGAACGGGAUCCUUGGCAGCUUGCUGCCGGGGUGAAAAGUGGCGAACGGGUGAGUAAUGCGUGACCGACCUGCCCCAUGCACCGGAAUAGCUCCUGGAAACGGGUGGUAAUGCCGGAUGUUCCACAUGAGCGCAUGCGAGUGUGGGAAAGGCUUUUUGCGGCAUGGGAUGGGGUCGCGUCCUAUCAGCUUGUUGGUGGGGUAACGGCCUACCAAGGCGUUGACGGGUAGCCGGCCUGAGAGGGCGACCGGCCACAUUGGGACUGAGAUACGGCCCAGACUCCUACGGGAGGCAGCAGUGGGGAAUAUUGCACAAUGGGCGCAAGCCUGAUGCAGCGACGCCGCGUGCGGGAUGGAGGCCUUCGGGUUGUAAACCGCUUUUGUUCAAGGGCAAGGCACGGUUUCGGCCGUGUUGAGUGGAUUGUUCGAAUAAGCACCGGCUAACUACGUGCCAGCAGCCGCGG